GCCUUCGUGGUGUAGUGGUCAGCACGCUCGGCGCGUAUUCGAGAGGUCCGUGGUUCGAGUCCUGGCGAGGACA
RNAcentral lists this transfer RNA (73 nucleotides) under Stegodyphus mimosarum. It matches the Rfam family "tRNA". From Rfam's summary of the family: Transfer RNA (tRNA) molecules are approximately 80 nucleotides in length. Their secondary structure includes four short double-helical elements and three loops (D, anti-codon, and T loops). The record is from Rfam by way of RNAcentral. Lineage: Eukaryota; Metazoa; Arthropoda; Arachnida; Araneae; Eresidae.